CAGUGGCGAACGGGUGAGUAACACGUGAGCAACCUGCCCUGGACUCUGGGAUAAGCGCUGGAAACGGCGUCUAAUACUGGAUAUGAGACGUGAUCGCAUGGUCGUGUUUGGAAAGAUUUUUCGGUCUGGGAUGGGCUCGCGGCCUAUCAGCUUGUUGGUGAGGUAAUGGCUCACCAAGGCGUCGACGGGUAGCCGGCCUGAGAGGGUGACCGGCCACACUGGGACUGAGACACGGCCCAGACUCCUACGGGAGGCAGCAGUGGGGAAUAUUGCACAAUGGGCGGAAGCCUGAUGCAGCAACGCCGCGUGAGGGAUGACGGCCUUCGGGUUGUAAACCUCUUUUAGCAGGGAAGAAGCGAAAGUGACGGUACCUGCAGAAAAAGCGCCGGCUAACUACGUGCCAGCAGCCGCGGUAAUACGUAGGGCGCAAGCGUUAUCCGGAAUUAUUGGGCGUAAAGAGCUCGUAGGCGGUUUGUCGCGUCUGCUGUGAAAUCCCGAGGCUCAACCUCGGGCCUGCAGUGGGUACGGGCAGACUAGAGUGCGGUAGGGGAGAUUGGAAUUCCUGGUGUAGCGGUGGAAUGCGCAGAUAUCAGGAGGAACACCGAUGGCGAAGGCAGAUCUCUGGGCCGUAACUGACGCUGAGGAGCGAAAGGGUGGGGAGCAAACAGGCUUAGAUACCCUGGUAGUCCACCCCGUAAACGUUGGGAACUAGUUGUGGGGACCAUUCCACGGUUUCCGUGACGCAGCUAACGCAUUAAGUUCCCCGCCUGGGGAGUACGGCCGCAAGGCUAAAACUCAAAGGAAUUGACGGGGACCCGCACAAGCGGCGGAGCAUGCGGAUUAAUUCGAUGCAACGCGAAGAACCUUACCAAGGCUUGACAUAUACGAGAACGGGCCAGAAAUGGUCAACUCUUUGGACACUCGUAAACAGGUGGUGCAUGGUUGUCGUCAGCUCGUGUCGUGAGAUGUUGGGUUAAGUCCCGCAACGAGCGCAACCCUCGUUCUAUGUUGCCAGCACGUAAUGGUGGGAACUCAUGGGAUACUGCCGGGGUCAACUCGGAGGAAGGUGGGGAUGACGUCAAAUCAUCAUGCCCCUUAUGUCUUGGGCUUCACGCAUGCUACAAUGGCCGGUACAAAGGGCUGCAAUACCGUGAGGUGGAGCGAAUCCCAAAAAGCCGGUCCCAGUUCGGAUUGAGGUCUGCAACUCGACCUCAUGAAGUCGGAGUCGCUAGUAAUCGCAGAUCAGCAACGCUGCGGUGAAUACGUUCCCGGGUCUUGUACACACCGCCCGUCAAGUCAUGAAAGUC
Molecule: ribosomal RNA, 1307 nt
Filed under: Microbacterium testaceum
Lineage: Bacteria; Bacillati; Actinomycetota; Actinomycetes; Micrococcales; Microbacteriaceae
Description: bacterial SSU rRNA
Rfam family: Bacterial small subunit ribosomal RNA
Source: RNAcentral